UCAGAAAACGCAAAAGGAAGGGCGCAACCUGU
RNAcentral lists this non-coding RNA (32 nucleotides) under Mus musculus (house mouse). Lineage: Eukaryota; Metazoa; Chordata; Mammalia; Rodentia; Muridae. The record is from RNAcentral.